Molecule: small nucleolar RNA, 207 nt
Organism: Trichechus manatus latirostris (Florida manatee)
Lineage: Eukaryota; Metazoa; Chordata; Mammalia; Sirenia; Trichechidae
Product: small nucleolar RNA U3
Exons: 1
Source: RefSeq, a predicted model, not a curated record
AAGCCUACACUUUCAGAGAUCGUUUUUACAGUUCCUUACUAGCGAAGUGCUCUGAGCAUGAAGAGUACUGAAAACCAUGAGGAGGAAGGACGGUGUUCUCUCCUGAGCAUACAGCCGACUAUUGGUGUUCCUUCUCUAAAAUUGCCAUUUGCCAUCGAUGAGCAUUCUCUUUUUGAAAGGAGGGAGAGAAAAAAGAGUCUGAAAGCC